UUCUUUGCUCAUACUACCCUGGCUGCACUAGCUCUCAUUCGAUCUGUGAAGCUCAGCAGGGUUGGGCCUGGAUAGUACUUGGAUUGGAGACAACCCAGGAAUACCAGGUGCUAUAGACU
This 119-nucleotide ribosomal RNA is filed under the name Echinops telfairi (small Madagascar hedgehog). Lineage: Eukaryota; Metazoa; Chordata; Mammalia; Afrosoricida; Tenrecidae. The record is from RNAcentral.